RNAcentral lists this long non-coding RNA (287 nucleotides) under Sorghum bicolor (sorghum). RNAcentral's name for it is "long non-coding RNA (SBIC_LNC007559)". Lineage: Eukaryota; Viridiplantae; Streptophyta; Magnoliopsida; Poales; Poaceae. The record is from RNAcentral.
GGAGGAGAAGAUGAUCGAGGUGGUGCUGAACGACCGCCUGGGGAAGAAGGUGCGGGUGAAGUGCAACGAGGACGACACCAUCGGCGACCUCAAGAAGCUGGUGGCGGCGCAGACGGGGACGCGCCCCGAGAAGAUCCGCAUCCAGAAGUGGUACAACAUCUACAAGGACCACAUCACCCUCAAGGACUACGAGAUCCACGACGGGAUGGGGCUCGAGCUCUACUACAACUAGGCGCCCUGACCCACCCCGACCGUGCUGCGUGCCCCCCUACUGCUGUGAGGUAGCA